AUGGCGUCCUCGUCCCGGACGAGUACCGCGCAAGCUUACGAUCCACUGCUGGGGACCAACAUGUCGCCGCCGUCCAGCUCCUCCACUUCCACCUCCACCGUCCUCGCCGACGAGGUGAGCACGAUGUGUAGCCAGAUACUCGCGGAGAUGAAGGGCAUGAUCGCCGUCGGAGCGGCGGCGGCCGUGUGCUUCGGGGCGUGGAGGUACUACACGUACCACACCUGCCUGGGCACCUACGGCCGGGACAUGACGGCCGCCGCCGGCAAGGGCGACCCGGUGGUGGGACGCGACGACGAGAUCGACCGCGUCAUCCGCAUCCUCUGCCGCCGGAGCAAGAACUGCGUGGCCCUUGUCGGCGCCGCGGGGGUCGGCAAGACGGCCAUCGCCGAGGGCCUCGCGCAGCGCAUCGCCGCGGGGAAGGUGCCCAAGCAGCUCAAGGGCACGCGCCUCGUGGAGCUCGACCUCGGGGCCAUGGUGGCCGGGACGCAGUGGCGCGGCAUGUUCGAGGAGCGCAUGAAGGCCGUCAUCAGGCGGGCCGAGGCCUCCCGCGGCAAGAUCAUACUGUUCAUCGACGAGAUGCACACGCUCGUCGGCGCCGGCGACUACCAGCGCCGAAACGACGCCGCCAACAUGCUCAAGCCGGCGUUGGCCCGUGGCCGCAUCCGCUGCAUCAGCGCCACCACGUUCGACGAGUACCGCAAGCACAUCGAGAAGGACACCGCGCUCGAGCGGCGGUUCCAGAAGGUGCACGUCGAGCAGCCGACCACACAGGCCACCGUCGCCAUCCUGCAGGGGAUCAGGCGGCGGUAUCAGAAGCACUAUGGCCUGGAAAUCCAGGAUGCUGCUGUUGACGCCGCCGUGCACCUUGCUGACCGCUAUAUCACCGGUCGUCAAUUUCCUGAUAAGGCAAUUGAUCUAAUAGACGAGGCUUGCACCUCCGUCGAGAGAAAAGCAAAAGCAAUUGUUGGCCCGGAUCUUAUCGCACAGGUAAGGGGGAUGUGCUUGUCAUGCCAUUUUCAACUAAUUUUAUUGAAGAUAGGAGUUAAGCCGUUAAUCUCAUGUUGUUAUUUGAAGGUGGUAAGCCGGUGGACCGGGAUUCCUUUAACUCAGCUUGAUCAAGAUGAGAAGGUCAAGUUAAUGCACCUAGCAGACAAAUUGCAUGAGAGAGUAGUUGGGCAGAAUGAGGCGGUCGAUUUGGUUGCAGAUGCCGUGUUGCGUUCUAGGGUUGGUCUUGCUCGAGGUGGCCAACCGGUAGGCUCCUUCCUCUUUCUAGGCUCAACUGGUGUUGGAAAGACAGAACUUGCGAAAGCUCUCGCCGAGCAGUUAUUUGGCAGCGAGAAGAUGUUGGUUCGCUUCGACAUGUCAGAAUAUAGUUGCCCUUCUUCCGUGACGCGUCUCAUUGGAGCAGCGCCAAGGUUGACUGAUGGUAAAGGCCAGAACGUAGAUUUCAAAAAUACAGUCAUCAUUAUGACGUCGAAUCUUGGGGCACAACACCUAACAGAAGGAAGCACGAUGAAAGUUGCACAUGACCUUCUCAUGAAACAGGUUCGGAAAUACUUCAAGCCGGAACUCCUCAACAGACUGAGCGAGGUUGUGAUAUUCGAGCCGCUUUCGCACCAGCAGCUGAAGGAGAUAGUGAAUAUCCAGAUGAAGGACAUGUACGGUGCGAGGCCUAUAAAGAGGUGGGUCGAGAAGAAUGUAAUCACGGUCAUCUGCAAGAUGCUG
This 1725-nucleotide ribosomal RNA is filed under the name Triticum aestivum (bread wheat). RNAcentral's name for it is "partial small subunit ribosomal RNA". The record is from RNAcentral. Lineage: Eukaryota; Viridiplantae; Streptophyta; Magnoliopsida; Poales; Poaceae.